GGUGGGUUGCUGAGGGCGGGUGUGGGGGGGGGGCUUGACGGUCACUCCCUGGAGAAGUCCACCCACUCAGCCCUGGGAGCCAAGUGCCGAUGUGUAAUCACUGGUGAAUCUGGCAACGUUGCCAUCUGGGCUUGGCUUGGCUCCAGGGCCAGGAGAUACGAUUGCACAGAAACAGGUGGGAUCAGCUGAGUGCCCUGGGAGGCUUCCUCCUUCGGUCUGUUCGGGGGCACUGAGGCAGUGGGUUCUAGGAGCCCGGCUCCGUGAAUUCGAAUGUGCUGGCACAUCCUGCGGUGGAGGGGAAGCAGUAGAGGACUUCCCUCCACUCACUCUCAACCUGCUGAUGAAGGAAGUAAUGGGCUCUGAAGGAAAUCAACAUUCCAGGAUGAUAUUGUAUUGUGUGCAUCCUGCAAUGCUCUAGAACCUUUGGCAUCAUCUGCCUGUCACAGUCACCACUCCUCCUCCGUUUCAAAGGCAUAGGUGCCUGAGAAAGCAUGACCACAGUGCCUGGUGCUUGGUAAGACCUCUUUAUUUUUCAAUUUGUUUUUAAAUCAUAUAAUUCAAGUUUUUAAGUUGCGUGUUUUUUUUUUUUAAAUUGAAGUAUAGUUGAUCCACAAUGUUGCAUUAGUUUCGGGUGUACAACAUAAUGACUGGACAAUUCUGUAUGUUAUAGAAUCCUAUGCUCCCCACAGUGUGGCUACCAUCUGUCCCCAUCCAGCACUAUUACAAUAUCAUUGACUAUAUUCCUCAUGCUGUACAUUUCAUCUCCCUGACUUAUUCAUUCUGUAACUGAAGGCCUGCAACUCCUACCUCCCUUCACUCCUUUUUGCCCAUCCCUCCAUUCCCUGCCUGCUGGCAACCACCAGUGUGUUCUCUGUAUUAUGGGUCUGUUUCCAGGUAAGACCUCUUUAAUGUUGCUUGAAAAUAAUGUCUGGAGUAAAGGCUGAAGAGGUCAGUAGGUAAAGGGAUCCUUGGAGAACACCUGUUUGCCCUUCCUCCGCCCCCAGACCUGCUGCCCCUCUGUUUUGAUGUGGUUCCACCCCCACCCCUGGGGGCCAGGCACUUGCUGCUUAUUGAGUUUGUCAGCAUUUCCCCCAUGGAUCUCAGACUGACUAAUUAGCCUACCCUGCCUGAUUGCUGAAGCCACAGGGCACUGCCAGACCAGCACUUUUCCACAUGGCAUCUGCUGAGACAAAGCAGGGCUGAGCCUUUAACCCUGUCUUGUCUACAUUGUAUGAGUAGGAAUGAGCUCGCAUGGAGGUGGAUGUGGGUUCUGCUCCUAGAGACUGUAGAUAUUUCUCUGGAUGGUCAGAGAUGGUCAGAAUGCUUGUAAAGACUUAAGCCAAAGAUUCUCAUCAAUAGAGCAGAUAAUUUAGGGGGAGGGUGGCAUCUGGUAAUUGAAAUUCUUAUUCUCAGUUCAGUGCAAAUUUUAUCAAUAAUUUCUUACCAUCUAGCUUGGUAAGUUUGAAGGAAAUCAGUCAGUCAAAAAAAGUCCAAGCUGAGGAUCAGAGCUCUCUCUUCCUCUCUCUUGGAUUUUCUGUUUCCUCAGGCCGUCACAGCCUGGGGUUAACAGUGGGUCAUGUCACCAGUAAU
RNAcentral lists this long non-coding RNA (1590 nucleotides) under Canis lupus familiaris (dog). RNAcentral's name for it is "lncRNA (ENSCAFG00040025092.1)". Lineage: Eukaryota; Metazoa; Chordata; Mammalia; Carnivora; Canidae. The record is from RNAcentral.